GACGAACGCUGGCGGCGUGCUUAACACAUGCAAGUCGAACGGUAAGGCCCUUUCGUGGGUACACGAGUGGCGAACGGGUGAGUAACACGUGGGUGAUCUGCCCUGCCCUUUGGGAUAAGCCUGGGAAACUGGGUCUAAUACCGGAUAGGACGACGCGAUGCAUGUCGUGUGGUGGAGAGCUUUUGCGGUGUGGGAUGGGUGCGCGGCCUAUGAGCUUGGUGGUGGGGUGAUGGCCUACCAAGGCGACGACGGGUAGCCGGCCUGAGAGGGUGUCCGGCCACACUGGGACUGAGAUACGGCCCAGAAUCCUACGGGAGGCAGCAGUGGGGAAUAUUGCACAAUGGGCGCAAGCCUGAUGCAGCGACGCCGCGUGGGGGAUGACGGCCUUCGGGUUGUAAACCCCUUUCAGCACAGACGAAGCGUAAGUGACGGUAGGUGCAGAAGAAGCACCGGCUAACUACGUG
This 464-nucleotide ribosomal RNA is filed under the name uncultured bacterium. RNAcentral's name for it is "partial 16S ribosomal RNA". It matches the Rfam family "Bacterial small subunit ribosomal RNA", at positions 28 to 507 of the family's 1533-position model. The record is from RNAcentral.